This 146-nucleotide unclassified non-coding RNA is filed under the name uncultured Phialocephala. RNAcentral's name for it is "sequence contains ITS2". Lineage: Eukaryota; Fungi; Ascomycota; Leotiomycetes; Helotiales. The record is from RNAcentral.
AACCACUCACGCCUAGCGUGGUAUUGGGGCACGCGGUCUCCGCGGCCCUCAAAAUUAGUGGCGGCGCCGGUGGGCUCUAAGCGUAGUACAUACUCCCGCUAUAGAGUUCCCCCCGGUGGCUCGCCAGAACCCCUCUAUUUUCUUAC